AGAAUCAACGCUGGCGGCGUGCCUAACACAUGCAAGUCGAGCGCGAAAGGGGAGCAAUCCCCAAGUAGAGCGGCGAACGGGUGAGUAACGCGUGGGUAAUCUACCUCCGAGUGGGGAACAACAGCGGGAAACUGCUGCUAAUACCGCAUGACAUCGUCGAGCCCUAGGGCAUGACGAUCAAAGCCGGGACCGCAAGGCCUGGCGCUUGGAGACGAGCCCGCGUCCGAUUAGCUAGUUGGCGGGGUAAUGGCCCACCAAGGCUCCGAUCGGUA
Molecule: ribosomal RNA, 272 nt
Filed under: uncultured soil bacterium
Lineage: Bacteria
Description: partial 16S ribosomal RNA
Rfam family: Bacterial small subunit ribosomal RNA
Source: RNAcentral